Molecule: long non-coding RNA, 1468 nt
Filed under: Theobroma cacao (cacao)
Lineage: Eukaryota; Viridiplantae; Streptophyta; Magnoliopsida; Malvales; Malvaceae
Description: long non-coding RNA (TCAC_LNC002126)
Source: RNAcentral
UUUUAACCCACCGGAUUGUCCAUCUAUUGCGUCAGAUCAAUGUAGUUAUGUAUGCAGUAGCAACCAAUACUAUUUCUGAGUCUGAUAACAGUAGGGAAGCAAAUGGAAAGUCUGACGCGAGCUUGCAUGAACGCGUUUUUGCCACGACAAGGAAAAGAUGGUUUUACUCGUUCAAUGGAUAAACUCGAUCGUUGACAGUACGUAGACCAACAAAGUCCAUUAUUUUGGAGUUUUAGGUUGUGGUCAGAUGUCAGAUGCAGAAUAAUUGCAAAUACCCAUGUAGUUUGACGUUGUUCCCAGUAUUUUAUAGGUGAAGGCCAAUCUCAGAAGAUUGCUUUUUGUUGACCUCUCCCAGUAAAUUAAUGACUUAAAAUGACGUGGGGUGUUUUGCUAGGUUGUUUAAUUUUGACAGGUAAUGGAACUGGAGGGGAUGGUUAUUGGUCUUCGAUGCAAAACCCAACACACAGAUUAAUUAUUAUCCGUAAUCAAUCAUUGUGGUAGUCCUAAUCCUUUUUGCGUGGUUUAUUAAAAGUGAGUGCAAUGGCCACUAAGCUUACGUUUCUCUGCAUUAGAAUACUUUUUGGGGGUCCUGAAGUCGGAGAAAUGAUGCAGAGUUUACACGUAGCCCAUGAACUGAAAAUGAUUGGAGGAGGUUUUCACAAGGACAAUCAUGAUGCAGUGGCAGUCACCCCCACCCAAAACUUUGCAUAAGCUAUCCUGCACGUCGCGGACUCUAAUUUUGGACUAUUAGGUCUACGCCUCUAGCUAGGCUCAUCGACCAGUCUGUCUGGUUUGGCUGUCCCAAAGUUCCACUUCGACUUCCCCCUCCAUCUGCAUGACAUUUUAGCUUUGAUCUAAAGAAUUUCCAGUGGCCUGAAAUAAGUGUUGGUCACGUAUGUAUGUAUCGUGUAAGUCCCACCCCCCUUUUUUAUCCUGAAUUAGUAUCUGCUUUCCUCAUUGCUUGUUCUUCUGAUACAAUAAUUGUCUGUUUCUGUCAAAAAAGUGGAAUAAAAAGAACAAAGUGUAGGAGCCAUACAUUAUUGAUUCCAUUUUCCAGUAACAGUCUGAAGCACCAAGCAGACAAGCUCCAAGAGGAUUCAAAUACGUGGACGGCUGUCUCAGGAAUAAUAGCUAACUUUUGGCUCCGUUAAAAAUGGCUAUCCAUAUAGAAGCUAAUAACAUAAUGCAAACACAAAAAGUCAAUUCCAUCAAUGAGUACACUUCUAUAAUUAUGGAGCGCAGAAUUUUGUAAAUUCCACAAAAUGACAAAAUAAUUCUUCGUUUUUUUUUUCCAAAGUAAAUAUACUUACUUACCAGGGCACCCAGUAGAAUUGUUGGAACAAAAUGAACUGAUUCUAAUUUCAAUGACAAAAAGUUUUUUAAGGGAAAGAACUGGUCAGAGUUUCAUCCUUAAAGAAUUGGCCAAUGUUUCGUGUAUGCAAAACAAUGCUCACAACCUUAAAUCCCC